RNAcentral lists this ribosomal RNA (253 nucleotides) under uncultured bacterium. RNAcentral describes it as "partial 16S ribosomal RNA". It matches the Rfam family "Bacterial small subunit ribosomal RNA", at positions 524 to 776 of the family's 1533-position model. The record is from RNAcentral.
UACGUAGGGCGCAAGCGUUGUCCGGAAUUAUUGGGCGUAAAGGGCUCGUAGGCGGUUUGUCGCGUCGGGAGUGAAAACCUACAGCUUAACUGUGGGCUUGCUUUCGAUACGGGCAGACUUGAGGCAUGCAGGGGAGAACGGAAUUCCUGGUGUAGCGGUGAAAUGCGCAGAUAUCAGGAGGAACACCGGUGGCGAAGGCGGUUCUCUGGGCAUGUUCUGACGCUGAGGAGCGAAAGCGUGGGGAGCGAACAGG